AAAUAUAUAAAAAGAUAAAAAUAAAAAAAUUGUCCAGUAGCACCUUAGAGACCAACUAAGUUUGUUCUUGUUAUGAGCUUUCGUGUGCAUGCCCACUUCUUCAGAUACACUGUUUCAUACCAAGAAAGCUCAUUCCAAGAACAAACUUAGUUGGUCUCUAAGGUGCUACUGGACAAUUUUUAUUUUUUUAUCUUUUUAUAUAUUU
Molecule: non-coding RNA, 205 nt
Organism: Podarcis lilfordi (Lilford's wall lizard)
Lineage: Eukaryota; Metazoa; Chordata; Lepidosauria; Squamata; Lacertidae
Source: the annotation of a GenBank genome assembly